This 357-nucleotide ribosomal RNA is filed under the name uncultured Lactobacillales bacterium FR003. RNAcentral describes it as "bacterial SSU rRNA". It matches the Rfam family "Bacterial small subunit ribosomal RNA", at positions 1 to 353 of the family's 1533-position model. The record is from RNAcentral. Lineage: Bacteria; Bacillati; Bacillota; Bacilli; Lactobacillales.
UAGAGUUUGAUCCUGGCUCAGGACGAACGCUGACGGCAUGCCUAAUACAUGCAAGUCGAACGCUGAACCUCUCUGCUUGCAGAGAGGGGAAGAGUGGCGAACGGGUGAGUAACACGUGAGAAACUUGCCCAUAAGCGGGGGAUAACAUCCGGAAACGGGUGCUAAUACCGCAUAAGUAAUCACAUCGCAUGACGUGAUUAUGAAAGGUGGCUCUGCUACCGCUUAUGGAUAGUCUCGCGGCGCAUUAGCUAGUUGGUGGGGUAAGGGCCUACCAAGGCGAUGAUGCGUAGCCGGCUUGAGAGGGUGAUCGGCCACACUGGGACUGAGACACGGCCCAGACUCCUACGGGGCGCAGCA